AUACGUAGGUGGCAAGCGUUGUCCGGAUUUAUUGGGUUUAAAGGGAGCGUAGGCCGCUUUGUAAGCGUGUUGUGAAAUUUGCCGGCUCAACCGGUAACUUGCAGCGCGAACUGCAGAGCUUGAGUGUGCGCAACGUUGGCGGAAUUCGUCGUGUAGCGGUGAAAUGCUUAGAUAUGACGAAGAACUCCGAUUGCGAAGGCAGCUGACGGGAGCACUACUGACGCUGAAGCUCGAAAGUGCGGGUAUCGAACAGGAUUAGAUACCCUGGUAGUCCGCACGGUAAACGAUGGAUGCCCGCUGUUUGCACAUAGUUGCAAGCGGCCAAGCGAAAGCGUUAAGCAUCCCACCUGGGGAGUACGCCGGCAACGGUGAA
RNAcentral lists this ribosomal RNA (373 nucleotides) under uncultured bacterium. RNAcentral describes it as "bacterial SSU rRNA". It matches the Rfam family "Bacterial small subunit ribosomal RNA", at positions 523 to 898 of the family's 1533-position model. The record is from RNAcentral.